UAUUAUGCUGGUGUUCGUGGGU
This 22-nucleotide microRNA is filed under the name Limulus polyphemus (Atlantic horseshoe crab). RNAcentral's name for it is "Lpo-Mir-1993-P5_3p (mature (guide))". Lineage: Eukaryota; Metazoa; Arthropoda; Merostomata; Xiphosura; Limulidae. The record is from RNAcentral.